UAACACAUAUUUGCUCCCCUUCAACCAAGACCUAUAGGGAGGAUAAAUUACGUCUUUUUACCUGCAAGUGAGGGAUUUGCAGGAAUAAGUUUCGCA
Molecule: non-coding RNA, 96 nt
Filed under: unclassified sequences
Description: PhotoRC-II RNA
Rfam family: PhotoRC-II RNA
Source: RNAcentral